AACUGAUACUACCUGCGGGAACCUGCGGAAGGAUCAUUAAAGAGAAAACUGCCCUUUGGGUAGAUCUCCCACCCUUUGUUUAUAUUACCUUUGUUGCUUUGGCAGGCCCGUCUCUGACCACCGGCUCUUUGGCUGGUCUGUGCCUGCCAAGAGACCUCCAACUCUUGAUUUGAAGUUGUCUGAGUCUUAUAUAAUAGUAAAAACUUUCAACAACGGAUCUCUAGAUCGGAAGAGCACACG
RNAcentral lists this unclassified non-coding RNA (240 nucleotides) under soil metagenome. RNAcentral describes it as "partial contains 5.8S ribosomal RNA, internal transcribed spacer 2, and large subunit ribosomal RNA". The record is from RNAcentral.